UGGGCGAAAGCCUGAUGCAGCGACGCCGCGUGAGGGAUGACGGCCUUCGGGUUGUAAACCUCUUUCAGCAGGGACGAAGCGAAAGUGACGGUACCUGCAGAAGAAGCACCGGCCAACUACGUGCCAGCAGCCGCGGUAAUACGUAGGGUGCGAGCGUUGUCCGGAAUUACUGGGCGUAAAGAGCUCGUAGGCGGUUUGUCGCGUCGUCUGUGAAAACCAGCAGCUCAACUGCUGGCUUGCAGGCGAUACGGGCAGACUUGAGUACUGCAGGGGAGACUGGAAUUCCUGGUGUAGCGGUGAAAUGCGCAGAUAUCAGGAGGAACACCGGUGGCGAAGGCGGGUCUCUGGGCAGUAACUGACGCUGAGGAGCGAAAGCGUGGGUAGCGAACAGGAUUAGAUACCCUGGUAGUCCACGCCGUAAACGGUGGGCGCUAGGUGUGGGUUUCCUUCCACGGGAUCCGUGCCGUAGCUAACGCAUUAAGCGCCCCGCCUGGGGAGUACGGCCGCAAGGCUAAAACUCAAAGGAAUUGACGGGGG
RNAcentral lists this ribosomal RNA (537 nucleotides) under Rhodococcus pedocola. RNAcentral's name for it is "bacterial SSU rRNA". It matches the Rfam family "Bacterial small subunit ribosomal RNA", at positions 372 to 919 of the family's 1533-position model. Lineage: Bacteria; Bacillati; Actinomycetota; Actinomycetes; Mycobacteriales; Nocardiaceae. The record is from RNAcentral.